CCUACGUGAGACAGCAGUGAGGAAUAUUGGUCAAUGGGCGCGAGCCUGAACCAGCCAAGUAGCGUGAAGGAUGACUGCCCUACGGGUUGUAAACUUCUUUUAUAAAGGAAUAAAGUGAGGCACGUGUGCCUUUUUGUAUGUACUUUAUGAAUAAGGAUCGGCUAACUCCGUGCCAGCAGCCGCGGUAAUACGGAGGAUCCGAGCGUUAUCCGGAUUUAUUGGGUUUAAAGGGAGCGUAGAUGGGUUGUUAAGUCAGUUGUGAAAGUUUGCGACUCAACCGUAAAAUUGCAAUUGAUACUGGCAGUCUUGAGUACAGUUGAGGUAGGCGGAAUUCGUGGUGUAGCGGUGAAAUGCUUAGAUAUCACGAAGAACUCCGAUUGCGAAGGCAGCUUACUAAACUGCCACUGACAUUGAUGCUCGAAAGUGUGGGUAUCAAACAGGAUUAGAUACCCCGGUAGUC
Molecule: ribosomal RNA, 460 nt
Filed under: uncultured bacterium
Lineage: Bacteria
Description: partial 16S ribosomal RNA
Rfam family: Bacterial small subunit ribosomal RNA
Source: RNAcentral